GACGAACGCUGGCGGCGUGCCUAAUACAUGCAAGUUGAGCGCUGAAGGUUGGUACUUGUACCAACUGGAUGAGCAGCGAACGGGUGAGUAACGCGUGGGGAAUCUGCCUUUGAGCGGGGGACAACAUUUGGAAACGAAUGCUAAUACCGCAUAAAAACUUUAAACACAAGUUUUAAGUUUGAAAGAUGCAAUUGCAUCACUCAAAGAUGAUCCCGCGUUGUAUUAGCUAGUUGGUGAGGUAAAGGCUCACCAAGGCGAUGAUACAUAGCCGACCUGAGAGGGUGAUCGGGCAACUUGGGACUGAGACACGGCCCAAACUCCUACGGGAGGCAGCAGUAGGGAAUUUUCGGCAAUGGACGAAAGUCUGACCGAGCAACGCCGCGUGAGUGAAGAAGGUUUUCGGAUCGUAAAACUCUGUUGGUAGGGAAGAACGUUGGUGAGAGUGGAAAGCUCAUCAAGUGACGGUAACUACCCAGAAAGGGACGGCUAACUACGU
RNAcentral lists this ribosomal RNA (496 nucleotides) under uncultured bacterium. Its description in RNAcentral is "partial 16S ribosomal RNA". It matches the Rfam family "Bacterial small subunit ribosomal RNA", at positions 28 to 506 of the family's 1533-position model. The record is from RNAcentral.